This 427-nucleotide ribosomal RNA is filed under the name uncultured bacterium. Its description in RNAcentral is "bacterial SSU rRNA". It matches the Rfam family "Bacterial small subunit ribosomal RNA", at positions 355 to 774 of the family's 1533-position model. The record is from RNAcentral.
UGGGGAAUAUUGGACAAUGGGCGCAAGCCUGAUCCAGCAAUGCCGCGUGGGUGAAGAAGGCCUGCGGGUUGUAAAGCCCUUUAAGUGGGGAGGAACACCGGAAUGCGAACAGGAUUCCGGGCUGACGUUACCCACAGAAUAAGCACCGGCUAACUCCGUGCCAGCAGCCGCGGUAAUACGGGGGGUGCAAGCGUUAAUCGGAAUUACUGGGCGUAAAGCGUGCGUAGGCGGUUGAGUCAGUCAGUCGUGAAAGCCCUGGGCUUAACCUGGGAACGGCGAUUGAGACGGCUCGACUAGAGUGGGCUAGAGGAUCGUGGAAUUCCGGGUGUAGCGGUGAAAUGCGUAGAGAUCCGGAGGAACACCGAUGGCGAAGGCAGCGGUCUGGGGCCACACUGACGCUGAGGCACGAAAGCGUGGGGAGCAAACA